UNUGACUUGAGUGCAGAAGGGGAGAGUGGAAUUCCAUGUGUAGCGGUGAAAUGCGUAGAUAUAUGGAGGAACACCAGUGGCGAAAGCGGCUCCNUGGUCUGUCACUGACGCUGAGGCUCGAAAGCGUGGGUAGCGAACAGGAUUAGAUGCCCUGGUAGUCCACGCCGUAAACGAUGAGUGCUAGGUGUUAGGCCCUUUCCGGGGCUUAGUGCCGGAGCUAACGCAAUAAGCACUCCGCCUGGGGAGUACGACCGCAAGGUUGAAACUCAAAGGAAUUGACGGGGGCCCGCACAAGCGGUGGAGCAUGUGGUUUAAUUCGAAGCAACGCGAAGAACCUUACCAGGUCUUGACAUCCCGAUGCUAUUCUUAGAGAUAGGAAGUUACUUCGGUACAUCGGAGACAGGUGGUGCAUGGUUGUCGUCAGCUCGUGUCGUGAGAUGUUGGGUUAAGUCCCGCAACGAGCGCAACCCUUAUUGUUAGUUGCCAUCAUUAAGUUGGGCACUCUAGCGAGACUGCCGGUAAUAAACCGGAGGAAGGUGGGGAUGACGUCAAAUCAUCAUGCCCCUUAUGACCUGGGCUACACACGUGCUACAAUGGUCGGUACAACGAGUUGCGAGCCGGUGACGGCAAGCUAAUCUCUGAAAGCCGAUCUCAGUUCGGGUUGGAGGCUGCAACUCGCCUCCAUGAAGUCGGAAUCGCUAGUAAUCGCGGAUCAGCACGCCGCGGUGAAUACGUUCCCGGGCCUUGUACACACCGCCCGUCACACCACGAGAGUUUGUAACACCCGAAG
RNAcentral lists this ribosomal RNA (790 nucleotides) under uncultured bacterium. RNAcentral's name for it is "bacterial SSU rRNA". It matches the Rfam family "Bacterial small subunit ribosomal RNA", at positions 636 to 1426 of the family's 1533-position model. The record is from RNAcentral.